AGCUUUGCGCAGUGGCAGUAUCGUAGCCAAUGAGGUUAAUCCGAGGCGCGAUUAUUGCUGAUUGAAAACUUUUCCCAAUACCCCGCCAUGACGACUUGAAAUACAGUCGGCAUUGGCAAUUUUUGAGAGCCUCUCCGGAGG
RNAcentral lists this small nuclear RNA (141 nucleotides) under Anas platyrhynchos (mallard). Its description in RNAcentral is "U4 spliceosomal RNA (ENSAPLG00020006645.1)". It matches the Rfam family "U4 spliceosomal RNA". From Rfam's summary of the family: U4 small nuclear RNA (U4 snRNA) is a component of the major U2-dependent spliceosome. The structure of U4 snRNA from yeast and human has been reported. RNAcentral also lists the same sequence under 1 other name. The record is from RNAcentral. Lineage: Eukaryota; Metazoa; Chordata; Aves; Anseriformes; Anatidae.